AGAGAGAGACAUGCGCGCAUAUCAAUAAGCGGAGGAAAAGAAACUAACAAGGAUUCCCUUAGUAACGGCGAGUGAAGCGGGAAGAGCUCAAAUUUGAAAUCUUCAAGGUUUUACCUUGACGAAUUGUAGUUUAAAGAAGUGUUUUCUGCUGAAGUUUUGGUAAAAGUUCUUUGGAAUAGGACAUCAUAGAGGGUGAGAAUCCCGUAUUUGACCAUUAUUUUCAGCUUUGUGAUACACUUUCAAAGAGUCGGAUUGUUUGGGAAUGCAGUCCAAAAUGGGUGGUAAAUUUCAUCUAAAGCUAAUAUUGGCGAGAGACCGAUAGCGAACAAGUAUCGUGAGGGAAAGAUGAAAAGAACUUUGAAAAGAGAGUUAAACAGUACGUGAAAUUGUCAAAAGGGAAGCGUUUGACACCAGUGUUGUUUUCUCGAAAAUCAAUUAAAAAUGGCUCGAUUUUGUAUUGCUGAGACCUUAAAAGCUCACUGUACAUUUUUCGUGUCUUUUUUAAUGCACUUUUCGUUUAACAAGUCAACAUCAGUUUCUUUUGUUGUAAAAGGGUCAUUGGAAGGUGGCUUUCUUUUCGGAGAAAGUGUUUAUAGCCUUUGGCCUCUGCAAUCGGAAGAGACUGAGGUCUGCAGCGUAGACUCUUCGGGGUUAGAUACAUUUGUGCUAAGUUAUAGCUUUUUAUAGACAACUUGUUGACUAUAAUUAGUCUUGUAGCUUACUCGCUUAUGCUAUUUUACCUACGCUUAGGAUGUUGAAGAUGUAGCACAUCAU
This 774-nucleotide ribosomal RNA is filed under the name uncultured Neocallimastigales. RNAcentral's name for it is "partial large subunit ribosomal RNA". It matches the Rfam family "Eukaryotic large subunit ribosomal RNA", at positions 23 to 634 of the family's 3401-position model. Lineage: Eukaryota; Fungi; Neocallimastigomycota; Neocallimastigomycetes; Neocallimastigales. The record is from RNAcentral.